Globicephala melas (long-finned pilot whale) is the source of this 2857-nucleotide long non-coding RNA. RefSeq lists it as uncharacterized. The record is from RefSeq and is a predicted model, not a curated record. NCBI's taxonomy places the organism in Eukaryota, Metazoa, Chordata, Mammalia, Artiodactyla, Delphinidae.
AAUCAAUGCCAGGUGUCACUGCCGUUGACACCCCUGCUUGCUGACGACAAAUGUGCCAUUGAAUUCAUGGUCAUCCGAAGUCUCAGUUUCCUCGUCUCUAAGGAUGAAGCUCACACUGAACUGGAAAAGAGGAAAGAGCAAAGGAUAGCAAGCUGGGGAAAUUAGGGGCCACAUGCUCCAUCUCAUGGUUCUGAAUAAUGAGAAAAUGGGCAGAGCAAAGGGGCAAAUAAAGAAGGAUCUACUUGUUCACAACUGUGCUCCUAUCCUCUGAAGCAUGUUGUUGAAGCCUUGGAGACAUCAUUAAUUUCUCUCGCUACCUUCCUCAAGCCUGAGUGGCCAGCCUUGGAAAGGUGCAGCCGGUGUUCUGCUGUUACAGACGACUCUAGAGCCCAUACUGGCCUGGAAGAAGUUGGAAGUGAAGUUAAUACCCAAGGAAUAAGUGAACGCUGGCUGCUAUAGCAGAACAUUCCAGCAGAGCAAGGGUGACCACUGGGGUAGUAUGUGGUCCAGGGUUAGACAGGAUGACAUUGAAGGGACCUCAUUUCUCUGAUAGUCAACAAAACACCACACAUACGCUAGAGCUACGUUUCCUUGGUUUGCUUGGUUUAAUCUGGUCUCCCUUGCUGCUUCUUUCCUCAUACCUUGUCUCCGUGUUUUAAGGACCUAUUUGGUGUUUGCACCUUCUUUUCCAUCUCUUCAACUCCCAUUCAGCCUCAUUUGUUUUUCUAUUUCCCUUUCUUCCUUUUUUCUUUCUAGCUAUUAAGGCACCUGUCAUGUAUCAACCCCCAGGGGCCCGAGUGGCAGCUUCCUUAAUUCAUGGAAUGCCUAAUUUUACCCACUACUUUGGAGAUGGGGCUAGGUUUCCUUUAAAAAGGAAAAAAAAAUUCCCUGGUAGUGUCUGUUUAUAUCUCUAAGGCUCAAAUAAUUGAAAACAGUAUUGUUUGAGGGAAGAUCAUUUCUAAUGAGCAAUACACAAGGAAGAAAAUCUGAUUUUCCCAAGUGAAAUUCCUGACAGACCACGAACUCUGCAAGAAAGAAGCAGAGCACUUCUCUCUAUGGUGACCAAGGCUGAAAUAAUUGUGUACCUGGACCAUCUGCGGCUGCCUUUUCCAGCACCUUCCUGUGGACAGCUCCAGGGCACUCUCUGGAAGCCAGAAUGGACUCCUGCUGAUUCGUCCACAUAUUUGUCUUGAAUGAAAGAAUGGUGUGUGCCAGUGGAUUUCAAAGCUUUUCACAAACCAUCUCCACAUCUGAAGUCUCAAGAGUUUAUGUCGAGCAUUUGUAUUACUUACAACUAAUUAAAUAUACUACCCGUGUUUUACAACAUGAACACAUCUGCUGAUAAUGUUGUAAAUAAUCUGUAUUAUUAUUUAUUUGAAACAAUACACUAGUAAUUAAUGGUUGGUCAGUAACCUUGAAAUCCUGACCUAUUUAUAAUAGAUAUUAAUUAUCACAUGUAUAGCAAAUCUUUUGUUUUUAAGCAUUUCUUCACAAAAGGAUACUUUAGAAGCAUGUUAAGGUGUUUUGUUUCAAAAUCUUUAUUUACUGUGAUCCCAAAAAUAUUGUUUAAAUUCCUAGUUUUAAGAUUUUAAGUAGACUGCCCAAAUGGGUAAACUAUGAUAAUGUUAUUAGGGAAAAAAUGAAGAGACAUAGCAUAUGAUAUGACAUUAUAACGUCUUGUUGAGAAUGUUUGAUGGAAAAACAAAAUCUUGCUGACCCAAUUAAAGGGUGUAGAAAUGAGAACUCUGCACUAGAUUGGAAUACAGAAAUGCUGAGAUGCCUGAUGCUUGCAUGGUAGCUUGGGAUCUGUUCUUCUAUGAAGGAGAUAUAAAUUACCUAGAUCUAACUGAAAGCGGAAAUCAAACUCUGUAAUGGAAAUGAUAUUCUUCCGAGGAGUGCAAAUUCUAUGUUAAAGAUCCCAAAGAGAAUCCUGUUAUUUAAGACUAUGCUGCAGUUGAAUAUUGACAGUAAUUGGUUUCCUCCUCUGCACCGCCCCUCCCCCCCUCGACCUAUCUUAUUUCUACCGUCUUCUCUAAGGUUAUGAAUUUUUGGAUGACUGAUUGGCGGUGAUGAUGCAAUCACUUGAUCCCUGAACACCUGCUCGUUCUGGUCCAGACUAUCCCAGUGCUGUAGCACAGCUGCUCUACGAGGGGACAAAAAUCCCCGGGUCCGCCUUCUCCCCCAUUUCUUCUGAUCUGGUUUAUGGAAACAGUAACUUCUUUUUGGUAUAGUCUAUCAAAAUCAAGAGGAGAAUUGUGCAUAAUGUAAUUUCAAUUCUGAAUACAGAGAAUGAUGAAAACAUUGCUAAAAUAAAAUCCUAUUGAUCCCAGUAGCAAAUAUUUCCAUUUUUUCCCUUUAAUAUACAUAGCUAUGCUACACUACAUAAAACGGAACACAAGUCCCAGUGCCAGUGUGGCCACUUAUCAGUUGUGUGAAUUUGGGAAAAAUCAGUGAGUAGCUCAGAACCUCAUCUGCCUCCUCUGUAAAAUGGGAAUAGAGAAGCUAGCCUGGGUUUCCUCUGGAAAAAAAAUGAAAUACUGCACAGGAGAAUAUACUAUAAUUAGUCUCUAUGGAAAUAAUUAUUUUUUAGCUAUUUAAAGGAUUGACAUAUAUACACUAAUAUGUAUAAAGUGGAUAACUAAUAAGAGCCUUCUGUAGAAAAAAAUAAAAUAAAAUUCAAAAAAAAGAAGAAAAAGCUACUGAAAACAGAACUUGUACAUUUCAGUUUAAGUGGUUAUAAACGUAUUGGCUUUCAUUAUUUAGAAAUAUCUAAGGUCUAUAAGAUAAACUAGAUUGAAUAUUCAAUAACUAAAUAAAUGUUUUUAAUAAGCCAUUAAAAUUAGAAUAUUUUCAUCAA